Molecule: non-coding RNA, 24 nt
Filed under: Arabidopsis thaliana (thale cress)
Lineage: Eukaryota; Viridiplantae; Streptophyta; Magnoliopsida; Brassicales; Brassicaceae
Source: RNAcentral
UUACAUCUACAGCACCUUGGCCUA